GUAGCAGGUGGCGAAAUCGAAAUGGUAAACGCGCUAGUUAAAAGCCUUACUUCGACAUCUUGCCCGUAAGGGACGUAGAGUUGAGGGUUAUCGGUUGCUAGUACCGCAAGGUUUAUAGGUUCAAGUCCUACUCUGCUACACCA
Molecule: transfer RNA, 143 nt
Filed under: Chroococcus sp. CMT-3BRIN-NPC107
Lineage: Bacteria; Bacillati; Cyanobacteriota; Cyanophyceae; Chroococcales; Chroococcaceae
Description: tRNA-OTHER
Source: RNAcentral